AGGAACGCGAAGAACCUUACCAGGUCUUGACAUCUUUUGAUCACCUGAGAGAUCAGGUUUCCCCUUCGGGGGCAAAAUGACAGGUGGUGCAUGGUUGUCGUCAGCUCGUGUCGUGAGAUGUUGGGUUAAGUCCCGCAACGAGCGCAACCCUUAUGACUAGUUGCCAGCAUUCAGUUGGGCACUCUGGUCAGACUGCCGGUGACAAACCGGAGGAAGGUGGGGAUGACGUCAAAUCAUCAUGCCCCUUAUGACCUGGGCUACACACGUGCUACAAUGGAUGGUACAACGAGUUGCGAGACCGCGAGGUCAAGCUAAUCUCUAAAAACCAUCCUCAGUUCGGAUUGCAGGCUGCAACUCGCCUGCAUGAAGCAGGAAUCGCUAGUAAUCGCCGGUCAACCAUACGGCGGUGAAUCCGUUCCCGGGUCUUGU
RNAcentral lists this ribosomal RNA (429 nucleotides) under uncultured bacterium. RNAcentral describes it as "bacterial SSU rRNA". It matches the Rfam family "Bacterial small subunit ribosomal RNA", at positions 955 to 1384 of the family's 1533-position model. The record is from RNAcentral.